GGAUUCCUGGGUAAAGCUAAUCUUCUCAGGGUAAGUCGGGGCCUAAGGCGAGGACGAGAGUCGUAGUCGAUGGACAACUGGUAGAGAUUCCAGUACUAUGUAUAAUCAGAACUGUGGGGACGCAGGAGGAUAGGUGUACCGCGGAAAGGGAAGACGCGGUCAAGCACAAAGUCGAGUUUGAAAGGCAAAUCCGUCAAACGAUGAUGAAGUGUGACGAGGACUGAAAAAGAGUAGGGAAGACACUGAAUCCACACUGCCGAGAAAAGCCGCUAUAGUGUUAUACAUACCCGUACCGUAAACCGACACAGGUAGAUGAGGAGAAAAUCCACAGGCCGACGGGAGAAGUGUUGUUAAGGAACUCGGCAAAAUGACCCCGUAACUUCGGGAUAAGGGGAGCCUACGCGAGUAGGCCGCAGAGAAUAGUCUCAAGCGACUGUUUAGCAAAAACACAGGUCUAUGCUAAAUCGAAAGAUGAUGUAUAUGGGCUGACGCCUGCCCGGUGCUGGAAGGUUAAGGGGAAGUGUUAGAGCAAUCGAAGCACUGAACUUAAGCCCCAGUAAACGGCGGCCGUAACUAUAACGGUCCUAAGGUAGCGAAAUUCCUUGUCAGGUAAGUUCUGACCCGCACGAAUGGCGUAACGACUUGAGAGCUGUCUCAACAACAUACCCGGCGAAAUUGAAGUACUGGUAAAGAUGCCAGUUACCCGUGAUAAGACGGAAAGACCCCAUGGAGCUUUACUGUAACUUGAUAUUGAAUUUUUGUAUUACAUGUACAGGAUAGGUGGGAGACAGAGAACUAAUGCCGCCAGGUGUUAGGGAGUCGAUGUUGGGAUACCACUCUUGUAAUAUGAAGGUUCUAACCUGCACCCGUGAAUCCGGGUGGGGGACACUGUCAGGUGGACAGUUUGACUGGGGCGGUCGCCUCCUAAAAGGUAACGGAGGCGCUCAAAGGUUCGUUCAGCACGGACGGAAACCGUGCAGUGAGUGUAAACGCAUAAACGAGCCUAACUGCGAGACCGACGGGUCGAGCAGUAACGAAAGUUGGAGUUAGUGAUCCGGCGGUAUGCAAGUGGAAGUGCCGUCGCUCAACGGAUAAAAGCUACCCUGGGGAUAACAGGCUGAUCUCCCCCA
This 1130-nucleotide ribosomal RNA is filed under the name metagenome. RNAcentral's name for it is "bacterial LSU rRNA". It matches the Rfam family "Bacterial large subunit ribosomal RNA", at positions 1349 to 2494 of the family's 2925-position model. The record is from RNAcentral.